UACGGAGGGGGCUAGCGUUGUUCGGAAUUACUGGGCGUAAAGCGCGCGUAGGCGGACCUGCAAGUCGGGGGUGAAAGCCCAAGGCUCAACCUUGGAACUGCCUUUGAUACUGGAGACCUUGAGUCCGGGAGAGGUGAGUGGAAUUGCGAGUGUAGAGGUGAAAUUCGUAGAUAUUCGCAAGAACACCAGUGGCGAAGGCGGCUCACUGGCCCGGAACUGACGCUGAGACGCGAAAGCGUGGGGAGCAAACAGG
RNAcentral lists this ribosomal RNA (253 nucleotides) under uncultured bacterium. Its description in RNAcentral is "partial 16S ribosomal RNA". It matches the Rfam family "Bacterial small subunit ribosomal RNA", at positions 524 to 776 of the family's 1533-position model. The record is from RNAcentral.